Molecule: long non-coding RNA, 459 nt
Organism: Bombus impatiens (common eastern bumble bee)
Lineage: Eukaryota; Metazoa; Arthropoda; Insecta; Hymenoptera; Apidae
Exons: 3
Source: RefSeq, a predicted model, not a curated record
ACGGAUGCCGCCCACGGAACUAGCCAUCGAAACAACAACGUAGAGAGUGUUCCAGUGUCAGAAAACAGUAACAGCAUGGCCAUCUCUGACCUGGGCCUCAGCGACACCACCUCCAUAGGAGCCAAACCCAUAGUAUCGGGUUAUUCGAAAAGUUUAUUUUUUUUUGUUAUUAUUAUUAUUUAAUUUGUUCGUUACAAUUUGUCCAGCUGAACAUCUGGUAAAUGUUUCUAACUUAAUUGCUAAAUAACACGUGGAUGGCUACCCUCAGCGGGUUACCAUCUCCGAGUUUGACUAUUCUAUUUCUUUAGCGAGGUCAAUGGAGUGUUUUCUUUUUAGUCUUCUUUCUAUGAGAGUUUUGCUCGCUUCAGCAGCCAGCUGACUUGGAUGUGUUGCCGUUCUUCUCUUGUAUUUUUCUGCGUACCUGCCAAUUUUUUCUUUGACCGUUAGUUUCUUUUUUUU